This 125-nucleotide small RNA is filed under the name Marmota monax (woodchuck). Lineage: Eukaryota; Metazoa; Chordata; Mammalia; Rodentia; Sciuridae. The record is from RNAcentral.
GCUGGGUAUAGUGAUGCACGCCUGUAAUCCCAGCGGCUCAGGAGGCUGGGGCAGGAGGAUCACAAGUUCAAAGCCAGCCUCAGCAGAAGUGUGGCACUAAGCAACUCAGUGAGACCCUGUCUCUA